CGCACAUUGCGCCCUUUGGUAUUCCGAAGGGCAUGCCUGUUCGAGCGUCAUUAUCACCCCUCAAGCCCCGCGCUUAGUGUUGGACGGCCUGGUUGGAGACGAUCCCUCCUAAAGACAAUGACGGCGGCCUCGUGGAACCCCCGGUACACUGAGCUUCUUUGGAGCACGUAUCGGACAGCGGGUGCCCGGGACCCGGUCUCCGGUUUUCCCCCCUCGGUGGGAAAACACCCUUCUCAAGGUUGACCUCGGAUCAGGUAGGAAUACCCGCUGAACUUAA
This 277-nucleotide unclassified non-coding RNA is filed under the name Chaetothyriales sp. Its description in RNAcentral is "partial contains 5.8S ribosomal RNA, internal transcribed spacer 2, and large subunit ribosomal RNA". The record is from RNAcentral. Lineage: Eukaryota; Fungi; Ascomycota; Eurotiomycetes; Chaetothyriales.